CAGCAGAACACUUUGCAAGAAAGCAUUCUCUAGUGAGGAAAAUACCAAGUCACUAAUAUAUGCCAGAAGCAAUUUAUUCUCCGUGAAUUUUCAAACAACAUGAAGGAAGGAUUCCAAAGUUUCUUGGCAAGCAACAUUGCAGCAGUACCACGCAUGGAAUUUCCUGCAAGCCUGCUUGCUCCUUGGGAAGGCACAGACUUGCCAUCCAUCCCUCCACGGCCGAUCCACAAGAGAUCAGCAGGGUGUGCCGGGCUCUGCACAGCCCAGGCACACGGCUGGCACCAUGCCGGUCACUUCCACGGCUCCCUUCAGCUCUACACCUAUGAGGAAACGUCACCGCUAACAGCUGAGAGGCCAUCAUCCACAGCACUACCCCGGGGCUGUUACUUUACAUUUCACCAAAGGGAAAACAAAAAUAAUGUUAUAUCUGCAGUAUGAACGUCCUGUGAUUUCCAUUUCCUGGGCAAUUCUGACAAGUGCCUUUUCACGUAAGCACUGGAACAAAACCAAGAGUGAAGGCUGCGUACAAAUGGCGACUCCCAAGCUCUAAGCGUCCCUUAGCAGUCAGAUGCAGCUCAGCGUUCACCCAGUACAGGCAGAACGUCCCAGGAAAGAGAGGGGAGCACAGCACCCUGCCGCCCACCUGGGCACCGAGCACCCGGCACUUACACACGUGUAUCACCACAAAGGGGCUGUGUGGGCUGCUCCUGCGGGUGGGAGCUAAGCCUGGCCCCACGCACGUCCCAUCGGCUGUUCUCUGCACCAGGGCAGAGGUGAUGCUAUCAACGUGGCCUUCAUUUUUCAUCAGGAACGGGCUGAUCAGCAUAACCAAACCCGACUACAAGCCCUCGGCAUCUCAGUGUAGCCCAUCAUUCCGCUGCAAAACAAAAAGGCUUGCGACUGCAAUUCAGAAAAUGUAGCCUAGCAGAGAGGAGAGUUCCUCCAGAAAGUGUCUAUUUAUAUAAUCGCUGCAGCGCUCAGAUACCAUGGAAAUAAGUAAAGAAUAAUAUCUUGGGGGAGUCUGUGGCACUGCAGAUUGGAGCAGCAGUCGCUGUUGCUGCCAAACGCGAGCCCCCGCUGGUGCUCCUGCCCCCGGGCUGCCCACGAGCUGCCAUGCUUCAGCAUCACGCUGCACUCUGCACGGAUUUCACCAGACUGCUUCCAGCCCCGUUUCCCUUCUCCGGGCUCACGGGCACCCACCGCUCCCUGCCCUGUGCCCCAGGGACCGCGGCCAGAUCACAGCAAUCCCUCACCGGGCUCUCGCACAGGGAUGUUGCUGGAAGGGCAAUGGCCACACAAACCUGUGCUCUCCGCCUGCAAUUUGCCACCAGCUAUCCCUUGUUAUUCCCUGAUAGAAUCUGGAAGCUCUGGAUCCAGAAGGCGUCAGCGCACAUCCAGCCCCCUGGUCAUUCACUCAUGGCAAAGUGAUGACCUGGAGGACCAAAGAGGGUUUAAAUGCUAUAAAGAGUAAGGAUCCAAUUAGCAGAACAGACCAGGCUGGAAUUAGCAUUCAAGGAUAAAGGCAGAAAAGGAAAACAUGAAGUAUCAGAAAGAGAUACAUGAAAUUAUCUCUCUGGAGUGAAGCAGCAGAAGCUCCACUGCUCGGUCUAUUUAAAACUAAGUUGGACACAGAGAAAUGAGCACAGGAGCUCCAUUUCAGCAGGAAGAGGGCUCAGGUUACUUUCAUCUUCAGUCCUCGCAGCUGGCUGUCUCUAAGCAGGAAGCGCCAUGUGUUUGCCUGCGAGUAGUAACAGAGUUCUGCCAGUCCUACUGCUGCCUCUGGCAAUUCCAAGGCAUUUUUCCAUAUAGACCUUAGGAAGAGUAUGAAGAACCACCAGAGCGAAGGCUGCAUCUCAACUGCAUGCUCAGAGUGAGGAGGCAGUCACACACACACACACAUCUGUGUAUGCUUCUGGGAAAAGUCACAAGGUUGCAACAGGAAGAAAAAAACGUGGGUCAAAGCAGAAACACCCAUUGACUUCAACGUGACCGAGGGUGGAGAACUGCUGAACCUUGGGGCAGGCUGUGUGCCAUACCUGUACCGCUGCCCUGAGGAACCACAAGCCAAGGGCUGCUGCUGUGCUGCUGGGCUUUCAGGACUGAAAGAGGAGAAAUACGUUUGUCACAUUUAUUGGGGUUCUUCUGACUUCUCGUUAAUCUCAUCGCCUCUCCCGGCAAAGCUCCUGCUUCCUUAAGCAGCUGCCUGCACCGCAUUAAGGAGUAAGCUGUUCAUCCCGAGUCACAUGUGCCAGCCUUUCCUCCCUUCUCUCAGGAAAGGUGAUUUCAAACUAGAGCACCUGCCCCAUUAGGCUGGAGAGGAAUUCAGCCCAGCUGCUAUCUUAAUGGCCCUUUGAGCGUCGCCUUUACGUUCAGAGUCUCCUGUUUUAACCAGGGGCUUCCCACAGGCCAAGAAACGCUUUGGUGGCUCUGCUCACUGCACAGGCCGUGCUGGCAGCGUGUGGGCUCCAUCCACACCAAGCACCCCACAUCCCCCCAGGACAGGGACAGGGACUUCCACCUCUCACGGUGGACACAGAGCCUUGGGAGCAGGAGGAGCCAGCAGUGGCUCCGUGUCACCAUUCCCCUUCCUGCAUGGAGAGUGGCGGUCGAGGCCCUGAGUGAGAACGCAGGCACCGACGACCAGACGUUGUAUAUGAGAACUGAGAGUGAAGCAGUUGGUUUUGUGGCUGUACGUUUGCUACAGUCACGGGGAAUCACUCCACCUGAAACGGAAUUUCAGCCCCUCCAGGCCUUCACACAUUCCUCGUUUUAAUCCCUCCUGAAAGUAUUUUUCGGCAGCCGUUUCUCACUGGGGCACGGAGGUGGGAGUGGGACGUGGCACUGAGAUGCAGGACGGGGAGAAGGACAAAGGACCGGGACGUGGGACGUGGAGACGGGACGCGGGUAGGAUGUGAGAUGUGGGAUUGGGGCGCAGGGUGUGGAAGUGGGACACGGGGAUGGGGACACGGAAGAAGGCUAUAGGACGUGGAGCUGAGCCACGGGGCACCCACGUGAGGGGUCGGGAGCCACGCGGGGCAGUGAGGAGCAGCUCGAGCAGGCUGCCCCCGGGCAGCGGAACGGCGGCGGCCCGGCCCGGCAGAGCUCUGGGGGAUGUCAGCUGGGCGCCCCGUCGCCCCAUCCCCGCCGGUAGUUCAGCACUGCGCCCGCUGAAACAGGGAAAGCGAGGCCCGAGCUCAGAGCACGGCCCGGCUUGCGGCGGGCAGCUCGGGGCCGUUGCCGGAAAGGGGCCGAGCGGCGACACCGGAGCGCUCCGUUCCCGCUCCGCUCGCUGCUGCCCGAAGACGGACGCGGCGUUUCCCCGCGCGUUCCUCCCCAG
Gallus gallus (chicken) is the source of this 3337-nucleotide long non-coding RNA. The record is from Ensembl. Lineage: Eukaryota; Metazoa; Chordata; Aves; Galliformes; Phasianidae.